This is a long non-coding RNA of Piliocolobus tephrosceles (Ugandan red Colobus), 2336 nucleotides long. NCBI's taxonomy places the organism in Eukaryota, Metazoa, Chordata, Mammalia, Primates, Cercopithecidae. The record is from Ensembl.
GCAGUUAAUAAUGCAUAAUGAAGAAAAUUACGCAACCAGAUAUAACUAACGAAAAAGAAUAUAAAGAAGAAUGUAUAUUUACUUCAAUUGAUAUUUUUAGUGGACCUCAUAAUUUUUUGAAUUUAUAUUAUGUAUGUGAAAUAGUUUUUAAUGAUUUCAAUUUUGUGUCACCUUAUCAUUGUUAUUUUUUUUUACGAAAUAAAUAUGAACACUUAGAAAAGGUUAAAGCAAAUUUUAUACAAAACACAAGUUCUUCUACUGUUUCUAAUUAUGAUCAUAUAAAUAUAAUACAAGAAAGAAAAGCUAUUAAACUAUUCCAAAAUGAAAAUGUAUUUUAUUAUGAUGACAAUGAUUUAACUACUUCGAGAAGAGCAAUUUGCGAAAGCCUGAUUGAUGUAAUAAAUUUAUUAACUAUUAAUGAUUUAAUGGUUAUUUCUCCUUAUUUUAAUGAGAACCCUGUGUGGAACACAAAUAAAUUAAGGUGGGUAGACUCUAUGCAAAGAGAUAAAUUUCGGAAGUAUGAAAAACUGCGUGAAAGCCUAAAACAAACAGGAAAACGUGAAAUAAUAUAUAAAGUUAAUGUUGAGGAUAUUGAAAAAGUAUAUAAUAAAAAUAUGAUUAAUGAUUUAUAUUUUUUUGGUGUUUAUAAUAGAAAAGGGCAAAACCAAUUAGGUCGAAUUUAUAUGAACAUACGAAAUGAUAUUUUAAAUAAUACAGAAAUAUAUUCUUGGUUAUUAUUAAAUUGUAAUAUGCAAACAGAUAAAAAUUUAAUCGCAAAUGUUUUGAUAACAGAAACAUACUUUGAAAAAAAGUUCAUAUAUGAGGAUGAAGAUGGUGACGGUGACAAUAACACCAACCAGGUUAUUAAUACUUCUAAACAAAUGAUAAAAGGGUCAUCAUUAAAUAACACAAAUUUACAAACAGACAAUAAUUAUAAAUUAGAAGAAAAAACAAAAGAUUAUUCUUUUAUUGCAAAAGAAUAUAUAUCAUUUGGUAAAAAUGACAUGAAUGAUAUAAUUUGUUUGAACCCAUCCAUUUCUAGAUUCCAUUGUAUAUUAUAUUUUGCAAAAAAUUAUUUUCUUUAUUUAAUAGAUGUAGGAUCUAAAUCAAGAACCAAAUUAAAUGGAAACGUGUGCAAAAUAAAUGAAAAAUAUAAAAUCAUGAGUAAUGAUAUUAUUACCUUAGGUGUAUCUAAACGAACAUAUAAAAUUAACAUAAACAUUAAUAAUGUUUUAUCUUAUCUUAAAAAUAAAAAAAUCGAAAUAAAUAAAAAAAUGAAUACAAUAAGUAAAGAAAUACAACAUCCAUUAGAAACAAAUAAAUCACUUAAACUUAAAAUAAGUAAUAUAUAUUAUAAGUGUAAUGAUAAUGAUAUAGUAGAUUAUUUUAAAGACUGUGGUGAAAUUAAAAAAAUAUUUAUGUAUAACAUUCCAUCUAAGAAAAAAAUAAACUCAAGUUCCAACAAGGGAGAUGAAAAUCAUACGGAGAAUAUAGACACACGUAAUAAUAAAAUUAGUUCUGAUGAUUUUAAAAAAGGUAAUUAUAUAAAAUGUGCAUUAAUAGAAGUACAUGAUGUAGUGACGUCUGAUAAUAUCAUGCGUAAAAAUAACUGUUUUUUAUAUGGAAGGAAAAUACAUAUUACUUAUCAAACUCCGCAAAUAAAUAAUUCACGAUAUUUUAGAAAUGGUUAUAGGCAAGGAACACGUGGGGAUGGGUCAAAGUCAGGACCGAUAGUGGAAACAGAAAGAGGGUCACCAUCAAGGUCAAAAUCAAGACCAACAUCAAGGCCACAAUCAAGACCAACAUCAAGGCCAAAAUCAAGACUAACAUCAAGGCCAAAAUCAAGACUAACAUCAAGGCCAAAAUCAAGACCAAAAUCAAGGGUAAUAUCAAGACCACAAUCAAAACCAACAUCAAAACCAGUAGCAAAUAUUGAAGUUACGUGUAAAAGUAAAAAAUACUUUGGAGAAAAAAUAAUAGUACCAGAUAGUAAUUAUAAUAAUAGAACAAGUCAAGCAUCACAUUAUUAUAAAGAAAAGCAUAACAAGAAGUUACAAAGAAAAAGUAUUGAAAGUGAAAAUGAUAGUAAAAGACAUUUAAAAAAACAUAAAAUGGAAAUAUAUAGAAAAAGAAAAAGGAGUUUACUAAAAUGGGAAAAUAGGUCACGAGAAAGGUGUUGGAGCAGAGAAAGAAGUAUGACCAAAAGUGUAAGUGGGAGCAGAGUUAGGAUUAGAAAAAAAAAUAUGCGCAAAAGUGACAGUAGAAGUUGUAGUAGCGAUAGCAGAAGUAGUAGUAGCGGUACUAGUAGAAGUAGUAACAGAAGUAGUAGCAGUAGU